RNAcentral lists this unclassified non-coding RNA (253 nucleotides) under uncultured Alphaproteobacteria bacterium. RNAcentral's name for it is "contains 16S-23S intergenic spacer region". It matches the Rfam family "Bacterial small subunit ribosomal RNA", at positions 524 to 776 of the family's 1533-position model. The record is from RNAcentral. Lineage: Bacteria; Pseudomonadati; Pseudomonadota; Alphaproteobacteria.
UACGAAGGGGGCUAGCGUUGCUCGGAAUUACUGGGCGUAAAGGGCGCGUAGGCGGCGCAUUUAGUCAGGCGUGAAAUUCCUGGGCUCAACCUGGGGACUGCGCUUGAUACGGGUGUGCUAGAGGAUGGAAGAGGCUCGCGGAAUUCCCAGUGUAGAGGUGAAAUUCGUAGAUAUUGGGAAGAACACCGGUGGCGAAGGCGGCGAGCUGGUCCAUUACUGACGCUGAGGCGCGACAGCGUGGGGAGCAAACAGG